RNAcentral lists this ribosomal RNA (551 nucleotides) under Salmonella enterica subsp. enterica. RNAcentral describes it as "partial 23S ribosomal RNA". It matches the Rfam family "Bacterial large subunit ribosomal RNA", at positions 1 to 582 of the family's 2925-position model. Lineage: Bacteria; Pseudomonadati; Pseudomonadota; Gammaproteobacteria; Enterobacterales; Enterobacteriaceae. RNAcentral also lists the same sequence under 2 other names. The record is from RNAcentral.
GGGUUGUGAGGUUAAGCGACUAAGCGUACACGGUGGAUGCCCUGGCAGUCAGAGGCGAUGAAGGACGUGCUAAUCUGCGAUAAGCGCCGGUAAGGUGAUAUGAACCGUUAUAACCGGCGAUUUCCGAAUGGGGAAACCCAGUGUGAUUCGUCACACUAUCAUUAACUGAAUCCAUAGGUUAAUGAGGCGAACCGGGGGAACUGAAACAUCUAAGUACCCCGAGGAAAAGAAAUCAACCGAGAUUCCCCCAGUAGCGGCGAGCGAACGGGGAGGAGCCCAGAGCCUGAAUCAGCAUGUGUGUUAGUGGAAGCGUCUGGAAAGGCGCGCGAUACAGGGUGACAGCCCCGUACACAAAAGCGCAUGUGCUGUGAGCUCGAUGAGUAGGGCGGGACACGUGGUAUCCUGUCUGAAUAUGGGGGGACCAUCCUCCAAGGCUAAAUACUCCUGACUGACCGAUAGUGAACCAGUACCGUGAGGGAAAGGCGAAAAGAACCCCGGCGAGGGGAGUGAAAAAGAACCUGAAACCGUGUACGUACAAGCAGUGGGAGCAC